This 21-nucleotide unclassified non-coding RNA is filed under the name Mus musculus (house mouse). Its description in RNAcentral is "oocyte_clustered_small_RNA584". Lineage: Eukaryota; Metazoa; Chordata; Mammalia; Rodentia; Muridae. The record is from RNAcentral.
AUCCCAUGCAUCCUAUCUGAC